CAAAAACUUCCAUCACUAUCAUCAUCAUUUUAAUCUCCACUUUUCCAUGGACUUAUUAAGACAAAAUUUUUGUACAACCAGAUGAUAUUUCUGUUGCCAACCCUCACCUGUUUGCAGGCAAAGUUAUAUUUAUCCAUGGCCAGCCAUAUUUUCCCAGAAUAUUGGAAAAUGACACUGCUUAUAUGACAAUGAUAUUUAUUCACAACCAUCACACAAUAUCAAGACAAGGAGACAUAAACAUACACACAAUCACCCUCAUAUAAAUGAGCAUUCACUUACUCAUGCACCCAGACCCACAUUCAUAAAUCCAAAACCACCCCACCCACACACACACAUGUAUACACAUAUGUAUAUACACGCAUACACACAAUGGGCUUUUUCCGGUUUCCAUGUACCAAAUCUACUCACAAGGCUUUCAUCAACCUGGGGCUGUAGUAGAAUGCAUGUGCCUAAGGUUCCCAAGGUGGGACUGAACCAAAAAUAAUGUGGUUGGGGUAUGAACUUCUCAACCACACUGCUAUACCUACACUUAUAACCAUGCAUGAGCCUACAUCACAUAUUUAAAAAGAAUAUGAUUUGUAUAGUUGCAGAUGUGGCUUGCUUCCCAAGAAGCUUGCUUCCCAACCACAUGGUUCCAGGUUCAAUCCCAUUGUGUGGAACUUUGGACAAGCAUCUUCUACUAUAGCCUUGGGCUGACCAAAGCCUUGUGACUGGAUUUGAUAGACAGAAAGUAAAAGAAGCCCAAUGUGUGUGUGUGUGUGUCUUUAUGUCUGUGUUUGUACCUCCAUCACUGUUUGACAACUGGUGUUGGUCUGUUUAUACCCCUGUAACUUAGCAGUUCAGCAAAAGAGAUCAAUAGAUUAAGUACUAGGCUUUUGAUUUGUUCGACUGCAUGGCUGCAGUCAAAUGACUGAAACAAAUAAAAGAAUAGCUAUUAACAUUGUCAUGACACUAAAAGCUGUGCUUCAAGGAUUUGUUUAUGUCCCAAUGCUGGCAAAUAACACCUGUUAAUACUUUCCAGGCACUGUUUUAAUAGACUUCUGUAGAUUAUAUGAAGAAAAAUUACUCUUUUUAUGGGGGAAGGAAAUUUUCCCUCUGUUUUUCUGCAAUAUUUAGAAUGCAAUUUGUCAACUGUCUCAACCCACAACACCAUGCUUACAUGGAGCUAAUUUAUAUCAAUGGAAUUUAUGCAACAGCUGCCUGUCUUUCAAAUAGGACAUUUUACAUGAUUAAUUCACGUGGGACAUGUGGAAUGUUUAACCUGGUUAAAACACUACAGAGUGAACAAUAGAUCCAUAAUCUUUGGAGCCACUGAAAGCUUGAAAAGUUCCUGGUUUUGAGUAAAAGAAAAUACCAGAGUAUCACUCUUGUAUUUAGUCAUGGCCAGCAUUAUGUGACCUUAAGUUGGACAAGAAGGAAGGAAAACUUGAAAAUUCUUUUGAAGGAAACAAGCAGUCAAAGGAUGUUAGUUGCGGAUAGACUUUUCACAAAAAAUUUAGUAAUAAAAGAAUUAUUAAACCAAAA
Long non-coding RNA from Octopus bimaculoides (California two-spot octopus), 1524 nucleotides. Lineage: Eukaryota; Metazoa; Mollusca; Cephalopoda; Octopoda; Octopodidae. The record is from RefSeq and is a predicted model, not a curated record.